RNAcentral lists this ribosomal RNA (250 nucleotides) under uncultured Eubacteriales bacterium. RNAcentral describes it as "uncultured Clostridiales bacterium partial 16S ribosomal RNA". It matches the Rfam family "Bacterial small subunit ribosomal RNA", at positions 505 to 758 of the family's 1533-position model. The record is from RNAcentral. Lineage: Bacteria; Bacillati; Bacillota; Clostridia; Eubacteriales.
GUGCCAGCAGCCGCGGUAAUACGUAUGGACCGAGCGUUGUCCGGAAUCAUUGGGCGUAAGGGUACGUAGGCGGCCUAGUAAGUUAGAAGUGAAAUAAUAUAGCUCAACUAUAUAAAGCUUUUAAAACUGUAAGCUUGAGAGAUGAAGGGAAAGUGGAAUUCCUAGUGUAGCGGUGAAAUGCGCAGAUAUUAGGAAGAAUACCAGUGGCGAAGGCGACUUUCUGGUCAUCAUCUGACGCUGAGGUACGAAA